RNAcentral lists this unclassified non-coding RNA (416 nucleotides) under soil metagenome. RNAcentral describes it as "partial contains 5.8S ribosomal RNA, internal transcribed spacer 2, and large subunit ribosomal RNA". The stretch from base 1 to 120 matches the Rfam family "5.8S ribosomal RNA", at positions 35 to 154 of the family's 154-position model. The record is from RNAcentral.
GAUGAAGAACGUAGCGAAAUGCGAUAAGUAAUGUGAAUUGCAGAAUUCAGUGAAUCAUCGAAUCUUUGAACGCAUCUUGCGCUCCUUGGUAUUCCUUGGAGCAUGCCUGUUUGAGUAUCAUGAGCAAAUCUCAAAGUCAAUUCCUUUUGUUGAUUCAAUUGGUUUUGCUUUGGACUUGGAGGCCUUGCAGAUUUCACAGUCUGCUCCUCUUAAAUGCAUUAGCUGGAUCUCAGUAAUUAUGCUUGGUUCCACUCGGCGUGAUAAGUAUCACUCGCUGAGGACACUGUUAAAAAGGUGGCCAGGAAAAUACUGAUUGAACCGCUUCUAACGGUCUAUUAAGUUAGACAAUUACCCUUAAGUUUGAUCUCAAAUCAGGUAGGACUACCCGCUGAACUUAAGCAUAUCAUAAGCGAGGA